UGUCGAUACACACAGGAGAUAACGGGGGAAACCUCAACUCAUCCAAUUUGUCAGAAAUUAAAGAAAGAUUCAGCCUUAAAUUGAUGCAUGAUCUCAAAUUUGUGAUCAUCUAAGCCUACAAAUCAUAAGUUUGACAAUUGACAAGUUAGGUGGGAGCUUGGAAAGGAAUGGGUCAAACGGGUUAAAGGCGCGAAGAAGCUUGAACGGACACAAGGUGCGAGAUGGAAGCACGGCUCAUAACCGGCCACCAUUGUCAACGAAAAAGAAGACGACGACUUAGGUAAGAGUGUUGUACCUUUAGACGCACACAGCGUGGCACCAUAACCAUGAUCGCAACCAUGGUUUGCAUGGUUCCACGCUUGUGUCCGCCUAAAAACCAUCCUCUUAUAUAGUCGGUCUAUAUUUUCAUGAUGAGUUGAGUGGAUGUUUUUCAUUUUCAAGCUAUGGGAACACUGCAUGGAUAUGUAUGUGUAUAUAUACACACAUAUUCAUAUAUAUUGAAAAGUUAAUGUUUAAGGGAGUGGAAAUGUGAGAUAUAUCAUCAAAGGUGGUGUACGUUCUUCAGGAUGAAGCUCCUAUUGUGUGCAUGUGACACAAGGCUAUGUAUUUGUAAUACACGUGUUGCUACGUGACAUAAAU
Molecule: long non-coding RNA, 639 nt
Organism: Helianthus annuus (common sunflower)
Lineage: Eukaryota; Viridiplantae; Streptophyta; Magnoliopsida; Asterales; Asteraceae
Exons: 3
Source: RefSeq, a predicted model, not a curated record